AACGAACGCUGGCGGCAUGCCUAAUACAUGCAAGUCGAACGAGACCUUCGGGUCCAGUGGCGCACGGGUGCGUCACGCGUGGGAACCUUCCCUUAGGUUCGGCAUAACUCUCCGACAGGGGUGCUAAUACCGGAUCAUGUCUUCGGCCCAAGGAUUUAUCGCCUUUGGAUGGGCCCGCGUUGGAUUAGCUAGUUGGUAGGGUAAAAGCUUACUAAGGCGACGAUCCAUAGCUGGUCUGAGAGGAUGGUCAGCCACACUGGGACUGAGACACGGCCCAGAAUCCUACGGGAGGCAGGAGUGGGGGAUGUUGGACAGCGGGCGGAGGCCUGAUCCAGCAAGGCCGGGUGAGUGAUGAAAGCCGUGGGGUUGUAAAGCUCUUUUACCCGGGAUGAUAAUGACAGUACCGGAAGAAUAAGCUCCGGCUAACUCCGUG
RNAcentral lists this ribosomal RNA (433 nucleotides) under uncultured bacterium. RNAcentral's name for it is "partial 16S ribosomal RNA". It matches the Rfam family "Bacterial small subunit ribosomal RNA", at positions 29 to 507 of the family's 1533-position model. The record is from RNAcentral.